RNAcentral lists this ribosomal RNA (140 nucleotides) under Staphylococcus aureus. Its description in RNAcentral is "partial 23S ribosomal RNA". It matches the Rfam family "Bacterial large subunit ribosomal RNA", at positions 2785 to 2925 of the family's 2925-position model. The record is from RNAcentral. Lineage: Bacteria; Bacillati; Bacillota; Bacilli; Caryophanales; Staphylococcaceae.
GCAUGAAGCCCCCCUCAAGAUGAGAUUUCCCAACUUCGGUUAUAAGAUCCCUCAAAGAUGAUGAGGUUAAUAGGUUCGAGGUGGAAGCAUGGUGACAUGUGGAGCUGACGAAUACUAAUCGAUCGAAGACUUAAUCAAAA